UACGUAGGGUGCGAGCGUUAAUCGGAAUUACUGGGCGUAAAGUGUGCGCAGGCGGCCGAGCAAGUCGAGUGUGAAAGCCCCGGGCUUAACUUGGGAAUUGCGCUCGAAACUACUUGGCUGGAGUGUGGCAGAGGAAGGUGGAAUUCCAGGUGUAGCGGUGAAAUGCGUAGAUAUUGGGAAGAACACCGAUGGCGAAGGCAGCCAUCUGGACCGACACUGACGCUGAGGCGCGAAAGCGUGGGGAGCAAACAGG
This 253-nucleotide ribosomal RNA is filed under the name uncultured bacterium. RNAcentral describes it as "partial 16S ribosomal RNA". It matches the Rfam family "Bacterial small subunit ribosomal RNA", at positions 524 to 776 of the family's 1533-position model. The record is from RNAcentral.